GCCACCUUAGCUCAGUCGGUAGAGCAGCGGUUUCGUAAACCGCAGGUCGUCCGUUCAAGUCGGAUAGGUGGCUCCA
This 76-nucleotide transfer RNA is filed under the name Myxococcales bacterium. RNAcentral describes it as "tRNA-Thr". It matches the Rfam family "tRNA". From Rfam's summary of the family: Transfer RNA (tRNA) molecules are approximately 80 nucleotides in length. Their secondary structure includes four short double-helical elements and three loops (D, anti-codon, and T loops). Lineage: Bacteria; Pseudomonadati; Myxococcota; Myxococcia; Myxococcales. The record is from RNAcentral. RNAcentral also lists the same sequence under 1 other name.